ACUUUAUUUUUCCAUUAUUUAUUAUUUUAUUUUUCAUACUUAUUAGUUAUUACUGCAUUUAACAAAUUAAAAAUUUCUUCAAGUGUGCAGUCUAAUUAUAGGAGUUGGAUCCACUCUGAGAAUCUCUUAUUCACAAUCAUCUCUCAAAAUCGAAAGAACAAAAUCUCAUCCUCAUCUCUCAGAAUCACUUAUUCACAAUCGCUUCUUCACUUCUUC
Molecule: long non-coding RNA, 216 nt
Filed under: Trifolium pratense (red clover)
Lineage: Eukaryota; Viridiplantae; Streptophyta; Magnoliopsida; Fabales; Fabaceae
Description: long non-coding RNA (TPRA_LNC005528)
Source: RNAcentral